Non-coding RNA from Podarcis lilfordi (Lilford's wall lizard), 76 nucleotides. NCBI's taxonomy places the organism in Eukaryota, Metazoa, Chordata, Lepidosauria, Squamata, Lacertidae. The record is from the annotation of a GenBank genome assembly.
AUCCCCCAGUGGCACAAUGGGUCAAUGCGCCUAGCUCUUAACCAGAAAGUUGGUGGUUCGAGCCCAUCCAGGGAUG